This 253-nucleotide ribosomal RNA is filed under the name uncultured bacterium. RNAcentral's name for it is "partial 16S ribosomal RNA". It matches the Rfam family "Bacterial small subunit ribosomal RNA", at positions 524 to 776 of the family's 1533-position model. The record is from RNAcentral.
UACAGAGGGUGCGAGCGUUGUCCGGAAUCACUGGGCGUAAAGGGCGCGUAGGUGGCGGGGUAAGCGUGUGGUGAAAGUCCGGGGCUCAACCCCGGAUCGGCCAUGCGAACUGCCCGGCUGGAGCACGGUAGAGGCACAUGGAAUUCCGGGUGUAGCGGUGGAAUGCGUAGAGAUCGGGAAGAACACCAGUGGCGAAGGCGAUCUGCUGGGCCGUUGCUGACGCUGAGGCGCGACAGCGUGGGGAGCAAACAGG